AGCUCCAAUAGCAUAUGUUAAUUUUGCUGCGGUUAAAAAGCUCGUAGUUGGACCUCAUUUUUGCUCAAAAAAAAAUAAUUUUUUUUUUUUUUUUUAUAUUGAGCUAAUAUGAAAAUUGUCACCAAUUCGUCACUAAAUUCCAGUUGCCGCACUUUGUGCAGCAGCGGAUAGUUGGCGAUGGUGGCAGGAUCACUUUGAAAAAAUUAGAGUGCUUAAAGCAAGCUAUGCACUUUACGAUGCCUGUAUGGUCGUGCAUGGAAUGAUGAAAUACGACCUCUGCCCUUUAAUCGGGGUUCGAGGUAAUGAUUAAAGGAAACAGACGGGGGCGUUCGUAUUGCGACGCGAGCGGUGAAAUGCGUUGACCGUCGCAGGACGACCUACUGCGAAAGCAUUCGCCAAG
RNAcentral lists this ribosomal RNA (400 nucleotides) under phytoplankton environmental sample. Its description in RNAcentral is "partial small subunit ribosomal RNA". It matches the Rfam family "Eukaryotic small subunit ribosomal RNA", at positions 587 to 962 of the family's 1831-position model. The record is from RNAcentral.